RNAcentral lists this ribosomal RNA (106 nucleotides) under Nanobdellota archaeon. RNAcentral's name for it is "partial 23S ribosomal RNA". It matches the Rfam family "Archaeal large subunit ribosomal RNA", at positions 2881 to 2987 of the family's 2987-position model. The record is from RNAcentral. Lineage: Archaea; Nanobdellati; Nanobdellota.
ACCUUAGGACACGGCAAUAACAGCCGUUUGAUAGAAGUGAUGUGUACGCACCAAGCUUCGGCGAGGUGCUCAGCAUGCACUUACUAACGUCCAUAAAUUUGUGUGU